GACGAACGCUGGCGGCGUGCCUAACACAUGCAAGUCGAGCGGAGCCAUCUAGAAGAUCCCUUCGGGGUGAUUCUGGGGAAGCUUAGCGGCGGACGGGUGAGUAACGCGUGAGUAACCUGCCCAUUAGUGGGGAAUAACACAGAGAAAUUUGUGCUAAUACCGCAUAAUGUAUCGAGAAGACAUCUUCAUGAUACCAAAGAUUUAUCGCACAAAGAUGGGCUCGCGUCUGAUUAGCUAGUUGGUAAGGUAACGGCUUACCAAGGCGACGAUCAGUAGCCGGACUGAGAGGUUGAACGGCCACAUUGGAACUGAGAUACGGUCCAGACUCCUACGGGAGGCAGCAGUGGGGAAUAUUGGGCAAUGGGCGAAAGCCUGACCCAGCGACGCCGCGUGAGGGAAGAAGGUCUUCGGAUUGUAAACCUUUGUAGACAGGGACGAAGAAAUGACGGUACCUGUAAAGUAAGCCACGGCUAACUACGUG
Molecule: ribosomal RNA, 481 nt
Filed under: uncultured bacterium
Lineage: Bacteria
Description: bacterial SSU rRNA
Rfam family: Bacterial small subunit ribosomal RNA
Source: RNAcentral